ACAUGCAAGUCGAGCGGUAGCACAGAGAGCUUGCUCUCGGGUGACGAGCGGCGGACGGGUGAGUAAUGUCUGGGAAACUGCCUGAUGGAGGGGGAUAACUACUGGAAACGGUAGCUAAUACCGCAUAACGUCGCAAGACCAAAGUGGGGGACCUUCGGGCCUCAUGCCAUCAGAUGUGCCCAGAUGGGAUUAGCUGGUAGGUGGGGUAACGGCUCACCUAGGCGACGAUCCCUAGCUGGUCUGAGAGGAUGACCAGCCACACUGGAACUGAGACACGGUCCAGACUCCUACGGGAGGCAGCAGUGGGGAAUAUUGCACAAUGGGCGCAAGCCUGAUGCAGCCAUGCCGCGUGUGUGAAGAAGGCCUUCGGGUUGUAAAGCACUUUCAGCGGGGAGGAAGGCGGUGAGGUUAAUAACCUCAUCGAUUGACGUUACCCGCAGAAGAAGCACCGGCUAACUCCGUGCCAGCAGCCGCGGUAAUACGGAGGGUGCAAGCGUUAAUCGGAAUUACUGGGCGUAAAGCGCACGCAGGCGGUCUGUCAAGUCGGAUGUGAAAUCCCCGGGCUCAACCUGGGAACUGCAUUCGAAACUGGCAGGCUAGAGUCUUGUAGAGGGGGGUAGAAUUCCAGGUGUAGCGGUGAAAUGCGUAGAGAUCUGGAGGAAUACCGGUGGCGAAGGCGGCCCCCUGGACAAAGACUGACGCUCAGGUGCGAAAGCGUGGGGAGCAAAACAGGAUUAGAUACCCUGGUAGUCCACGCUGUAAACGAUGUCGAUUUGGAGGUUGUGCCCUUGAGGCGUGGCUUCCGGAGCUAACGCGUUAAAUCGACCGCCUGGGGAGUACGGCCGGCAAGGUUAAAACUCAAAUGAAUUGACGGGGGGCCCGCACAAGCSGGUGGAGCAUGUGGUUUAAUUCGAUGCAACGCGAAGAAMCCUUACCUGGUCUUGACAUCCACAGAACUUUCCAGAGAUGGAUUGGUGCCUUCGGGAACUGUGAGACAGUGCUGSCAUGGCUGUCGUCAGCUCGUGCUUGUGGAAAUGUUGGGUUAAGGUCCCGSCAACCGA
Molecule: ribosomal RNA, 1061 nt
Filed under: Klebsiella pneumoniae
Lineage: Bacteria; Pseudomonadati; Pseudomonadota; Gammaproteobacteria; Enterobacterales; Enterobacteriaceae
Description: bacterial SSU rRNA
Rfam family: Bacterial small subunit ribosomal RNA
Source: RNAcentral